Molecule: long non-coding RNA, 654 nt
Organism: Oncorhynchus tshawytscha (Chinook salmon)
Lineage: Eukaryota; Metazoa; Chordata; Actinopteri; Salmoniformes; Salmonidae
Exons: 3
Source: RefSeq, a predicted model, not a curated record
GUUAGUGUGAACUACACUGCGCACUACCCCAGGUUAGUGUGAACUACACUGCGCACUACCCCAGGUUAGUGUGAACUACACUGCGCACUACCCCAGGUUAGUGUGAACUACACUGCGCACUACCCCAGGUUAGUGUGAACUACUCUGCGCACUACCCCAGGUUAGUGUGAACUACACUGCGCACUACCCCAGGUUAGUGUGAACUACACUGCGCACUACCCCAGGUUAGUGUGAACUACACUGCGCACUACCCCAGGUUAGUGUGAACUACACUGCGCACUACCCCAGGUUAGUGUGAACUACACUGCGCACUACCCCAGGUUAGUGUGAACUACUCUGCGCACUACCCCAGGUUAGUGUGAACUACACUGCGCACUACCCCAGGUUAGUGUGAACUACUCUGCGCACUACCCCAGGUUAGUGUGAACUACACUGCGCACUACCCCAGGUUAGUGUGAACUACACUGCGCACUACCCCAGGUUAGUGUGAACUACACUGCGCACUACCCCAGGUUAGUGUGAACUACACUGCGCACUACCCCAGGUUAGUGUGAACUACACUGCGCACUACCCCAGGUUAGUGUGAACUACACUGCGCACUACCCCAGGUUAGUGUGAACUACACUGCGCACUACCCCAGGUUAGUGUGAACUA